CAGUCGCCGCGGGAAUACGGAGGGUGCAAGCGUUAUCCGGAUUUAUUGGGUUUAAAGGGUCCGUAGGCGGACUUAUAAGUCAGUGGUGAAAGCCUGUCGCUUAACGAUAGAACUGCCAUUGAUACUGUAAGUCUUGAGUAUAUUUGAGGUAGCUGGAAUAAGUAGUGUAGCGGUGAAAUGCAUAGAUAUUACUUAGAACACCAAUUGCGAAGGCAGGUUACCAAGAUAUAACUGACGCUGAGGGACGAAAGCGUGGGUAGCGAACAGGAUUAGAGACCCCGGUAGUCCCUGUCUCUUAUAA
Molecule: ribosomal RNA, 301 nt
Filed under: uncultured bacterium
Lineage: Bacteria
Description: partial 16S ribosomal RNA
Rfam family: Bacterial small subunit ribosomal RNA
Source: RNAcentral